AUACGGAGGGCGCAAGCGUUGUUCGGAAUCAUUGGGCGUAAAGCGCGCGUAGGCGGCUUGGCAAGUCGGGUGUGAAAUCCCGGGGCUCAACCCCGGAACUGCAUUCGAAACUGCCUCGCUAGAGUCCCGGAGAGGAAGGCGGAAUUCCCGGUGUAGAGGUGAAAUUCGUAGAUAUCGGGAGGAACACCAGUGGCGAAGGCGGCCUUCUGGACGGUGACUGACGCUGAGACGCGAAAGCGUGGGGAGCAAACAGGAUUAGAAACCCCAGUAGUCC
This 274-nucleotide ribosomal RNA is filed under the name uncultured bacterium. Its description in RNAcentral is "partial 16S ribosomal RNA". It matches the Rfam family "Bacterial small subunit ribosomal RNA", at positions 523 to 796 of the family's 1533-position model. The record is from RNAcentral.